GAUGAACGCUGGCGGCGUGCCUAAUACAUGCAAGUCGAGCGAACAGACGAGGAGCUUGCUCCUCUGACGUUAGCGGCGGACGGGUGAGUAACACGUGGAUAACCUACCUAUAAGACUGGGAUAACUUCGGGAAACCGGAGCUAAUACCGGAUAAUAUAUUGAACCGCAUGGGUCAAUAGUGAAAGACGGUUUUGCUGUCACUUAUAGAUGGUUACGGGCCGCAUUAGCUAGUUGGUAAGGUAACGGCUUACCAAGGCUACGAUGCGUAGCCGACCGGAGAGGGGGGUAGGCGACAUGGGAGCGGAGGCACGGUCCAGAGUCCUACGGGAGGGAGCAGUAGGGUAUGUUCGGCAAUGGUGGAGAGCAUGACGGAGCAAGGCGGCGCGAGUGAUGAAGGCGUUGGGUGCGUAAAACUCUGCUAUUAGGUAAGAACAAAUGUGUAAGUAACUAUGCACGGCUUGACGGUACCUAGUAAGAAAGCCACGGCUAACUACGUG
Molecule: ribosomal RNA, 497 nt
Filed under: uncultured bacterium
Lineage: Bacteria
Description: partial 16S ribosomal RNA
Rfam family: Bacterial small subunit ribosomal RNA
Source: RNAcentral